RNAcentral lists this ribosomal RNA (497 nucleotides) under uncultured bacterium. Its description in RNAcentral is "partial 16S ribosomal RNA". It matches the Rfam family "Bacterial small subunit ribosomal RNA", at positions 28 to 507 of the family's 1533-position model. The record is from RNAcentral.
GAUGAACGCUGGCGGCGUGCCUAAUACAUGCAAGUCGAGCGAACAGACGAGGAGCUUGCUCCUCUGACGUUAGCGGCGGACGUGUGAGUAACACGUGGAUAACCUACCUAUAAGACUGGGAUAACUUCGGGAAACCGGAGCUAAUACCGGAUAAUAUAUUGAACCGCAUUGUUCAAUAGUGAAAGACGGUUUUGCUGUCACUUAUAGAUGGAUCCGCGCCGCAUUAGCUAGUUGGUAAGGUAACGGCUUACCAAGUCAACGAUGCGUAGCCGACCUGAGAGGGUGAUCGGCCACACUGGAACUGAGACACGGUCCAGACUCCUACGGGAGGCAGCAGUAGGGAAUCUUCCGCAAUGGGCGAAAGCUUGACGGAGCAACGCCGCGUGAGUGAUGAAGGUCUUCGGAUCGUAAAACUCUGUUAUUAGGGAAGAACAAAUGUGUAAGUAACUAUGCACGUCUUGACGGUAACUAAUCAGAAAGCCACGGCUAACUACGUG